GUUUCUCUCUGUUAGGGUUUGACAUUGAAGAAGGGUCCAGUGGAGUCAUCAUUGAAGAGUUCUGGGACUCCGUUCAGCUGGAGAUCAUUGCUCGAGGGUUUUGUCCAAGUCCUACAAAAAGCAGCUUCCUGGUUAAUCCUAGUUUUGAGCACUGGGGUCCGUGGAUGAAGGAAGACUAAGAUAAGACCAGAUCAUGAGAAGAGAGAUGGAAUUUAACAGAAGAAAUUACAGCUGGAAUAAAUAUCUUUGUAUGCUGA
Molecule: long non-coding RNA, 257 nt
Organism: Notolabrus celidotus (New Zealand spotty)
Lineage: Eukaryota; Metazoa; Chordata; Actinopteri; Labriformes; Labridae
Exons: 2
Source: RefSeq, a predicted model, not a curated record